Molecule: ribosomal RNA, 168 nt
Filed under: Goniastrea favulus
Lineage: Eukaryota; Metazoa; Cnidaria; Anthozoa; Scleractinia; Merulinidae
Description: 5.8S ribosomal RNA
Rfam family: 5.8S ribosomal RNA
About the family: 5.8S ribosomal RNA (5.8S rRNA) is a component of the large subunit of the eukaryotic ribosome. It is transcribed by RNA polymerase I as part of the 45S precursor that also contains 18S and 28S rRNA.
Source: RNAcentral
AACUUUUGACGGUGGAUCUCUUGGCUCACGCAUCGAUGAAGAACGCAGCCAGCUGCGAUAAGUAGUGUGAAUUGCAGAAUUCAGUGAAUCAUUGAAUCUUUGAACGCAAAUGGCGCUCUUGGGUUCUCCCAGGAGCAUGUCUGUCUGAGUGUCGGAUUGUCAUCCAUC